UGGGGAAUUGUUCGCAAUGGGCGCAAGCCUGACGACGCAACGCCGCGUGGAGGAUGAAGGUCUUCGGAUUGUAAACUCCUGUUGACCGGGAAGAACAGGUUUCAACCUAAUACGUUGGAGCACUGACGGUACCGGUUGAGGAAGCCACGGCUAACUCUGUGCCAGCAGCCGCGGUAAUACAGAGGUGGCAAGCGUUGUUCGGAAUUACUGGGCGUAAAGGGCGCGUAGGCGGCCUUCUAAGUCAGACGUGAAAUCCCCAGGCUUAACUUGGGAACUGCGUCUGAUACUGGGAGGCUUGAGUGCGGGAGAGGGAUGUGGAAUUCCAGGUGUAGCGGUGAAAUGCGUAGAUAUCUGGAGGAACACCGGUGGCGAAGGCGGCAUCCUGGACCGACACUGACGCUGAGGCGCGAAAGCCAGGGGAGCAAACGGG
This 430-nucleotide ribosomal RNA is filed under the name uncultured bacterium. Its description in RNAcentral is "bacterial SSU rRNA". It matches the Rfam family "Bacterial small subunit ribosomal RNA", at positions 355 to 776 of the family's 1533-position model. The record is from RNAcentral.